CCUACGGGUGGCUGCAGUGGGGGAUAUUGGUCAAUGGGGGAAACCCUGAUCCAGCGACGCCGCGUGAGUGAAGAAGUAUUUCGGUAUGUACAGCUCUAUCAGCAGGGAUGAAAGAAAUGACGGUAGAUGAUUAAGAAGCCUCGGCUAACUACGAGCCAGCAGGCGCGGCAAUACGUAGGGCGCAAGCGUUAUUCGGAAUUACUUGGUGUACGGGGAGCGUAGGCAGUACUGCAAGUCUGGAGUGAAAGGGGUGGGGCCAACCCCAGGAAUGCGGUGGAACCUGGCUGACUGGAGUGCAGGAGAGGCAGGCGGAAUGCGAAGUGUAGAGGGGAAAUGCUUAGAUAUUAGGCAGAACGCCGAUGGCGAAGGCGGCCUACCGGAGGGCAAUUGACGUUGAGGCACGAAAGCGUGGGUAGCGAACAGGAUUAGAUACCCAAGUAGUC
This 443-nucleotide ribosomal RNA is filed under the name uncultured bacterium. Its description in RNAcentral is "partial 16S ribosomal RNA". It matches the Rfam family "Bacterial small subunit ribosomal RNA", at positions 338 to 795 of the family's 1533-position model. The record is from RNAcentral.